This 423-nucleotide ribosomal RNA is filed under the name uncultured bacterium. RNAcentral's name for it is "bacterial SSU rRNA". It matches the Rfam family "Bacterial small subunit ribosomal RNA", at positions 202 to 622 of the family's 1533-position model. The record is from RNAcentral.
AAGACCUUGUGCUUUUGGAGCGGCCGAUGCCUGAUUAGCUAGUUGGUAGGGUAAAGGCCUACCAAGGCUACGAUCAGUAGUUGGUCUGAGAGGACGACCAGCCACACUGGGACUGAGACACGGCCCAGACUCCUACGGGAGGCAGCAGUGGGGAAUUUUGGACAAUGGGCGCAAGCCUGAUCCAGCAAUGCCGCGUGAGUGAAGAAGGCCUUCGGGUUGUAAAGCUCUUUCAGUUGAGAAGAAAAGGUUGUGGUAAAUAAUCACAAUUGAUGACGGUAUCGACAGAAGAAGCACCGGCUAACUACGUGCCAGCAGCCGCGGUAAUACGUAGGGUGCGAGCGUUAAUCGGAAUUACUGGGCGUAAAGGGUGCGCAGGCGGCUUUGUAAGUCAGAUGUGAAAUCCCCGGGCUUAACCUGGGAAUU